AUUAGAUACCCUAUUAUUUUUAUUGUAAAAUUUGAAACUUGAGUAUUAGUAGUUAAGGUCUUGAAACUUAAAGAAUUUGGCGGUAUUAUAGUCUAUUUAGAGGAAUCUGUUAUGUAAUCGAUAGUCCACGUUGAACCUUACUUAUAUUAUUUCUUGUAUACCGCUGUUUGAGAAUAUACUUUUAGGUUAUUUUCUUAAUAUAUUAUUAAUUAAAAUUUCAGGUCAAGGUGCAGUAAUAUAUAAGUUGAAUAAUGGAUUACAAUAAAUUUUAUUUAUAUGGAUUGUUAUUGAAAUAUAAUUUGAAGGUGGAUUUAAUUGUAAUUUUUUAAAGAUUAUUAAAAUGAUUAAUAGCUCUAUAAUAUGUACACAUCGCCCGUCGCUCUCGUUAUUAAGAUGAGAUAAGUCGUAACAUAGUA
This 416-nucleotide ribosomal RNA is filed under the name Tenodera sinensis (Chinese praying mantis). RNAcentral describes it as "partial 12S ribosomal RNA". The record is from RNAcentral. Lineage: Eukaryota; Metazoa; Arthropoda; Insecta; Mantodea; Mantidae.